This 465-nucleotide ribosomal RNA is filed under the name Vreelandella stevensii. RNAcentral's name for it is "partial 16S ribosomal RNA". It matches the Rfam family "Bacterial small subunit ribosomal RNA", at positions 338 to 795 of the family's 1533-position model. The record is from RNAcentral. Lineage: Bacteria; Pseudomonadati; Pseudomonadota; Gammaproteobacteria; Oceanospirillales; Halomonadaceae.
CCUACGGGUGGCAGCAGUGGGGAAUAUUGGACAAUGGGCGAAAGCCUGAUCCAGCCAUGCCGCGUGUGUGAAGAAGGCCUUCGGGUUGUAAAGCACUUUCAGUGGGGAAGAAAGCCUUGGGGCUAAUACCCUCGAGGAAGGACAUCACCCACAGAAGAAGCACCGGCUAACUCCGUGCCAGCAGCCGCGGUAAUACGGAGGGUGCGAGCGUUAAUCGGAAUUACUGGGCGUAAAGCGCGCGUAGGCGGUCUGAUAAGCCGGUUGUGAAAGCCCCGGGCUCAACCUGGGAACGGCAUCCGGAACUGUCAGGCUAGAGUGCAGGAGAGGAAGGUAGAAUUCCCGGUGUAGCGGUGAAAUGCGUAGAGAUCGGGAGGAAUACCAGUGGCGAAGGCGGCCUUCUGGACUGACACUGACGCUGAGGUGCGAAAGCGUGGGUAGCAAACAGGAGUAGAUACCCCAGUAGUC